RNAcentral lists this unclassified non-coding RNA (269 nucleotides) under uncultured fungus. RNAcentral describes it as "partial contains small subunit ribosomal RNA, internal transcribed spacer 1, and 5.8S ribosomal RNA". The stretch from base 1 to 73 matches the Rfam family "Eukaryotic small subunit ribosomal RNA", at positions 1759 to 1831 of the family's 1831-position model. The record is from RNAcentral. Lineage: Eukaryota; Fungi.
UCAAACUUGGUCAUUUAGAGGAAGUAAAAGUCGUAACAAGGUUUCCGUAGGUGAACCUGCGGAAGGAUCAUUAACAAAUUCUAUGAAUAAUAUACACCAGUGAAAUGAGGCUGAGGAUAGUGUAAGUAGUAGCAGGUGAAUAUGCUUGCCCUACUUGACCUAAUCAGACUGCAAAUACGCAUAUACACAGUAGUCAUUUACAAAUAUACAUAAAAAAAACAACUUUUAACAAUGGAUCUCUUGGCUCUCGCAUCGAUGAAGAACGCAGC